AGCAGCCGCGGUAAUUCCAGCUCCAAUAGCGUAUAUUAAAGUUGUUGCAGUUAAAAAGCUCGUAGUUGAAUUUCGGGAUCAAAGGAUCGGUCAUGCCUUGGUAUGUACUGGUUUUAUUGGUUCUCACCUUCUAAAGAACCAUAAUGUCAUUCAUUUGAUGUUAUGGGGAAUUAGGACUGUUACCUUGAAAAAAUUAGAGUGUUUAAAGCAGGCUUACGCUUGAAUACAUUAGCAUGGAAUAAUGAAAUAGGACGUUUGAUUCUAUUUUGUUGGUUUCUAGGAUCGACGUAAUGAUUAAUAGGGAUAGUUGGGGGCAUUAGUAUUCAAUUGUCAGAGGUGAAAUUCUUGGAUUUAUUGAAGACUAACUACUGCGAAAGCAUUUGCCAAGGAUGUUUUCAUUAAUCAAGAACGAAAGUUAGGGGAUCGAAGACGAUCAGAUACCGUCGUAGUCUUAACCAUAAACUAUGCCGACUAGGGAUCGGAUGAUGUUAAUUUUUUUAAUGACUCAUUCGGCGCCUUA
This 520-nucleotide ribosomal RNA is filed under the name uncultured Glomus. RNAcentral's name for it is "SSU rRNA". It matches the Rfam family "Eukaryotic small subunit ribosomal RNA", at positions 569 to 1090 of the family's 1831-position model. The record is from RNAcentral. Lineage: Eukaryota; Fungi; Glomeromycota; Glomeromycetes; Glomerales; Glomeraceae.